GGAGAUUGCUCCUCUUAGAGUUUUUUCUGUGAGCCUAUAAUGCAGACCCCCAUUUAAGGGCUGACUAAGACUGGGGAAGGAUCUCCUUCUGGACAUUCCUCCUUUGUGGAGCCUUUCAUCGUAAGCCUAAAUCUUGGGAUACAGGUCACUGAGCACCACUGAAAAGAGCCUGGUUCUGCACCCUCUCUUCCAGUACUGACAUUAUAGAUAUUGAUGAGAUCCCUUCUGAGCUUUCUCCAGAAUGAACAACAACCUCAUCUCCCUCAGCCAUUCCUCAUAUGACAGUGCUUUUCACACUGAAUCACGGGGUUGUAAGGUUUGGAAGGGACCUCUGAGGGUCAUCAAGUCCAGCUCCUUGCUAAAGCAGGUACCCUACAGUGUGCCACACAGGUGGCUUUGCUCCAGUCACUGCUUACAAAUCCCACAUCUCCUGGUUGUACUCACCUUAAACUCCUCCCAUUUGGGGAUGGAGUCCAGAGGAACGCUGAUUUUCUCUAAUAUACCAUGAGAAUCUAUACUACUUUAAUUCACUGGCAGACCCCGUCAUGCACAGAUCAAGGUUCUUUGGGAAGAAAGCUGAGAUAUAGUGCAUUCAUCUUGCAGAUGCUGAAGUACAGACAAUGUGAUUCUGCUAGGGCCAUGAGGAAGUCCACUAGACAAGAAGAGAUUAGAACUCUGAUGCUGGGCACAUCAGGUCAGCGUUGUAGUCUUGCGGUUACAAGGACUCAAGCUGCCAAGGUGAAAACUGGUAAUUAAGUCAGACCAUCAGCUUCAGAUGAUGGCUUUGCAUUCAGCUCCCCAAACUUUGUACUGUGCAGCAGACUGCAAUACACAGUCUGAGGGGAUGGAAAUGGUAUCACAUUGCACUAUGAAAUGGAUGAGCCACACACAUCUCGAACAGGAGCUAAAGACAACAAGACAACAGCUCUCCAGAUUAAUACCUACCUAAAAAGAUCAGUACAACACUAUGCUGGCCUAAUGGUUGUCAGAACAAGCAAUAAGCCAUGACACAAACAUGGUGAGAACAUAAGCAGGGGCCAGAGAAUAAAAACCAGAACUAAUAAAGUGUCAUAUUUUAACACAUCAAUGUGUACACUUACAUAUAGUUCAGACACUCUUUCUGCUUCAUCUCCAAAUGCAAACCAAAUGCCCAUAAAGCAAUGUCUCCCAAACUACCUUAGGUCAACAUUAUGAAUCACAGACACUGCAGCAUCUCUCAGGGCAGUUGCUGGAACCAGUGUGAUAGUUCAUUGAUCCACAUGCAGAUAAUUCAAGCAAAUCCAUCAAAAUUUAGACACUUGUCUGCUUUUCUGUUAGUGACCUUCAUAGUAGUUUCAAAGGUUAUUUAUCAGCCUCAGAGUAGCUGAUUAUUUCUGUGCUAUGAUUUUCCUGAAGAUAUUUUGGCUAUUCCAUUUGACUGCAUGUUGCUAGGCCGCACAGGUGCUAGUACUGAUCUUACCGUGGAAACAAAAAUAAAUAUGAUUUCUUUUUAUCAGCUUCUGUUGGAUGCAUACAUCAAGCAAAAUAACAUCUUGACACAAGUGACAUUUACAUACUCAUUCCAUCAGAGUGCAGCGGAUGCAUACCACUUACUUCCCUGAAGAUGAUAGGUGUGCCAGCAACCAGGCUUGAUGUGUUGCAUAUUAGCAUCUUCAAUUGCAGCACAGUUAACCUUGUCUUUUUUUUCCCUGAAGCAUUACACGUUGUACUUCCCUGGCAUAUAUCAUCACAAGGUGUAAACUAUAGAGAUAUUUCAAUUACUAUAGAGUUGACUGUGGGGUUAUACUUUAAAUCUUAGGCUGUGGCACAUAUUGUCAUACCAUUCAAAUACCUCCAACCUGCAUACAGUGGCUCACAUAUUCGCAUUCACGUAUAAAAUCUUUAGUUUAUUGACUACAUUUCAAACUUGACAGAGAGGUGCUGAUCUCAGAGAUAAUCAGCUCAUUGAUCCAGCUGGACUAACACUGCACACACAUUGAAUCAGUUUUCAAAUUCAGCUUGAGGCCAUCUGAUUGCUAGAUCUGAUAGAUGGUACCAUUGAAAGUGAGUAAAGAACCCAGG
Long non-coding RNA from Gallus gallus (chicken), 2061 nucleotides. The record is from Ensembl. Lineage: Eukaryota; Metazoa; Chordata; Aves; Galliformes; Phasianidae.